Molecule: long non-coding RNA, 10817 nt
Organism: Oreochromis niloticus (Nile tilapia)
Lineage: Eukaryota; Metazoa; Chordata; Actinopteri; Cichliformes; Cichlidae
Exons: 62
Source: RefSeq, a predicted model, not a curated record
GAUGUCGUACCGCCACAUCUGGCAGAUGUACAAGGAUCAGUCUGAACAGCGGAGGUGGUAGCAGGAGCUGCGGCGGUAUUUGUCCUGCAGGUGUCUUGAGCGGCUUGCCAGAUGCUUUGCGGGUGCCGGCCCCGUGCGAGUGUCUUGAGCGGCUUGCCAGAUGCUUUGCCGGUUGCAGCAGAAGAGCAGCAGCUCACUGAAGGAGAAGCCCGGUCACGUUGUCAUCUUCCCCAUCGAUGUCGUACCGCCACAUCUGGCAGAUGUGCAAGAAGUCAGAGGUCCUCUUCUGGACAGCAGAGGAGGCCAGAGUGAAGAAGAAAAGCAGCAGCUCGCUGACGGAGAACCCUGGCCACGUCGUCAUCUUCCCCUUGGAUGUCGUACCGCCACAUCUGCGAGAUGUACAAGAAGACUGAUGCAUACGUCGGGACAACGGAAGAGACUCUGACACGAGGGGCAUGGAGAAACCUGUUUUUUUUUGUUGUUUUUUUGAGGUUGUUCAUCGUUAAAGUACCAGUCUAAGGAGCUUGGAAAGAUGAGCUUCUAGAACUUGUAUGUGAGGAGCAGGAGCUCCCUGAACGAGAACCCCGGCCACGUCGUCAUUUUUUUGAGGUUGUCCGUCGACAAUGUACCAGUCUAAGGAGCUUGGAAAGAUGAGCUUCUAGAACUUGUAUGUGAGGAGCAGGAGCUCCCUGAACGAGAACCCCGGCCACGUCGUCAUUUUUUGAGGUUGUCCGUCGUCAAUGUACCAGUCUAAGGAGCUUGGAAAGAUGAGCUUCUAGAACUUGUAUGUAAGGAGCAGGAGCUCCCUGAAGGAGAACCCCGGCCACUUCGUCAUCUUCCCCUUGGAUGUCGUACCGCCACAUCUGGCAGAUGUACAAGGAUCAGUCUGAACAGCGGAGGUGGUAGCAGGAGCUGCGGCGGUAUUUGUCCUGCAGGUGUCUUGAGCGGCUUGCCAGAUGCUUUGCGGGUGCCGGCCCCGUGCGAGUGUCUUGAGCGGCUUGCCAGAUGCUUUGCCGGUUGCAGCAGAAGAGCAGCAGCUCACUGAAGGAGAAGCCCGGUCACGUUGUCAUCUUCCCCAUCGAUGUCGUACCGCCACAUCUGGCAGAUGUGCAAGAAGUCAGAGGUCCUCUUCUGGACAGCAGAGGAGGCCAGAGUGAAGAAGAAAAGCAGCAGCUCGCUGACGGAGAACCCUGGCCACGUCGUCAUCUUCCCCUUGGAUGUCGUACCGCCACAUCUGCGAGAUGUACAAGAAGACUGAUGCAUAGGUCGGGACAACGGAAGAGACUCUGACACGAGGGGCAUGGAGAAACCUGUUUUUUUGUUGUUUUUUUGAGGUUGUUCAUCGUUAAAGUACCAGUCUAAGGAGCUUGGAAAGAUGAGCUUCUAGAACUUGUAUGUAAGGAGCAGGAGCUCCCUGAAGGAGAACCCCGGCCACUUCGUCAUCUUCCCCUUGGAUGUCGUACCGCCACAUCUGGCAGAUGUACAAGGAUCAGUCUGGACAGCGGAGGUGGUAGCAGGAGCUGCGGCGGUAUUUGUCCUGCAGGUGUCUUGAGCGGCUUGCCAGAUGCUUUGCGGGUGCCGGCCCCGUGCGAGUGUCUUGAGCGGCUUGCCAGAUGCUUUGCCGGUUGCAGCAGAAGAGCAGCAGCUCACUGAAGGAGAAGCCCGGUCACGUUGUCAUCUUCCCCAUCGAUGUCGUACCGCCACAUCUGGCAGAUGUGCAAGAAGUCAGAGGUCCUCUUCUGGACAGCAGAGGAGGCCAGAGUGAAGAAGAAAAGCAGCAGCUCGCUGACGGAGAACCCUGGCCACGUCGUCAUCUUCCCCUUGGAUGUCGUACCGCCACAUCUGCGAGAUGUACAAGAAGACUGAUGCAUACGUCGGGACAACGGAAGAGACUCUGACACGAGGGGCAUGGAGAAACCUGUUUUUUUGUUGUUUUUUUGAGGUUGUUCAUCGUUAAAGUACCAGUCUAAGGAGCUUGGAAAGAUGAGCUUCUAGAACUUGUAUGUGAGGAGCAGGAGCUCCCUGAAGGAGAACCCCGGCCACGUCGUCAUUUUUUUGAGGUUGUCCGUCGUCAAUGUACCAGUCUAAGGAGCUUGGAAAGAUGAGCUUCUAGAACUUGUAUGUGAGGAGCAGGAACUCCCUGAAGGAGAACCCCGGCCACUUCGUCAUCUUCCCCUUGGAUGUCGUACCGCCACAUCUGGCAGAUGUACAAGGAUCAGUCUGGACAGCGGAGGUGGUAGCAGGAGCUGCGGCGGUAUUUGUCCUGCAGGUGUCUUGAGCGGCUUGCCAGAUGCUUUGCGGGUGCCGGCCCCGUGCGAGUGUCUUGAGCGGCUUGCCAGAUGCUUUGCCGGUUGCAGCAGAAGAGCAGCAGCUCACUGAAGGAGAAGCCCGGUCACGUUGUCAUCUUCCCCAUCGAUGUCGUACCGCCACAUCUGGCAGAUGUGCAAGAAGUCAGAGGUCCUCUUCUGGACAGCAGAGGAGGCCAGAGUGAAGAAGAAAAGCAGCAGCUCGCUGACGGAGAACCCUGGCCACGUCGUCAUCUUCCCCUUGGAUGUCGUACCGCCACAUCUGCGAGAUGUACAAGAAGACUGAUGCAUACGUCGGGACAACGGAAGAGACUCUGACACGAGGGGCAUGGAGAAACCUGUUUUUUUUGUUGUUUUUUGAGGUUGUUCAUCGUUAAAGUACCAGUCUAAGGAGCUUGGAAAGAUGAGCUUCUAGAACUUGUAUGUGAGGAGCAGGAGCUCCCUGAAGGAGAACCCCGGCCACGUCGUCAUUUUUUUGAGGUUGUCCGUCGUCAAUGUACCAGUCUAAGGAGCUUGGAAAGAUGAGCUUCUAGAACUUGUAUGUGAGGAGCAGGAACUCCCUGAAGGAGAACCCCGGCCACUUCGUCAUCUUCCCCUUGGAUGUCGUACCGCCACAUCUGGCAGAUGUACAAGGAUCAGUCUGGACAGCGGAGGUGGUAGCAGGAGCUGCGGCGGUAUUUGUCCUGCAGGUGUCUUGAGCGGCUUGCCAGAUGCUUUGCGGGUGCCGGCCCCGUGCGAGUGUCUUGAGCGGCUUGCCAGAUGCUUUGCCGGUUGCAGCAGAAGAGCAGCAGCUCACUGAAGGAGAAGCCCGGUCACGUUGUCAUCUUCCCCAUCGAUGUCGUACCGCCACAUCUGGCAGAUGUGCAAGAAGUCAGAGGUCCUCUUCUGGACAGCAGAGGAGGCCAGAGUGAAGAAGAAAAGCAGCAGCUCGCUGACGGAGAACCCUGGCCACGUCGUCAUCUUCCCCUUGGAUGUCGUACCGCCACAUCUGCGAGAUGUACAAGAAGACUGAUGCAUACGUCGGGACAACGGAAGAGUCUAAGGAGCUUGGAAAGAUGAGCUUCUAGAACUUGUAUGUGAGGAGCAGGAGCUCCCUGAAGGAGAACCCCGGCCACGUCGUCAUUUUUUGAGGUUGUCCGUCGUCAAUGUACCAGACUAAGGAGCUUGGAAAGAUGAGCUUCUAGAACUUGUAUGUGAGGAGCAGGAACUCCCUGAAGGAGAACCCCGGCCACUUCGUCAUCUUCCCCUUGGAUGUCGUACCGCCACAUCUGGCAGAUGUACAAGGAUCAGUCUGGACAGCGGAGGUGGUAGCAGGAGCUGCGGCGGUAUUUGUCCUGCAGGUGUCUUGAGCGGCUUGCCAGAUGCUUUGCGGGUGCCGGCCCCGUGCGAGUGUCUUGAGCGGCUUGCCAGAUGCUUUGCCGGUUGCAGCAGAAGAGCAGCAGCUCACUGAAGGAGAAGCCCGGUCACGUUGUCAUCUUCCCCAUCGAUGUCGUACCGCCACAUCUGGCAGAUGUGCAAGAAGUCAGAGGUCCUCUUCUGGACAGCAGAGGAGGCCAGAGUGAAGAAGAAAAGCAGCAGCUCGCUGACGGAGAACCCUGGCCACGUCGUCAUCUUCCCCUUGGAUGUCGUACCGCCACAUCUGCGAGAUGUACAAGAAGACUGAUGCAUACGUCGGGACAACGGAAGAGACUCUGACACGAGGGGCAUGGAGAAACCUGUUUUUUUUGUUGUUUUUUGAGGUUGUUCAUCGUUAAAGUACCAGUCUAAGGAGCUUGGAAAGAUGAGCUUCUAGAACUUGUAUGUGAGGAGCAGGAGCUCCCUGAAGGAGAACCCCGGCCACGUCGUCAUUUUUUGAGGUUGUCCGUCGACAAUGUACCAGUCUAAGGAGCUUGGAAAGAUGAGCUUCUAGAACUUGUAUGUGAGGAGCAGGAGCUCCCUGAACGAGAACCCCGGCCACGUCGUCAUUUUUUUUAGGUUGUCCGUCGUCAAUGUACCAGUCUAAGGAGCUUGGAAAGAUGAGCUUCUAGAACUUGUAUGUAAGGAGCAGGAGCUCCCUGAAGGAGAACCCCGGCCACUUCGUCAUAUUCCCCUUGGAUGUCGUACCGCCACAUCUGGCAGAUGUACAAGGAUCAGUCUGGACAGCGGAGGUGGUAGCAGGAGCUGCGGCGGUAUUUGUCCUGCAGGUGUCUUGAGCGGCUUGCCAGAUGCUUUGCGGGUGCCGGCCCCGUGCGAGUGUCUUGAGCGGCUUGCCAGAUGCUUUGCCGGUUGCAGCAGAAGAGCAGCAGCUCACUGAAGGAGAAGCCCGGUCACGUUGUCAUCUUCCCCAUCGAUGUCGUACCGCCACAUCUGGCAGAUGUGCAAGAAGUCAGAGGUCCUCUUCUGGACAGCAGAGGAGGCCAGAGUGAAGAAGAAAAGCAGCAGCUCGCUGACGGAGAACCCUGGCCACGUCGUCAUCUUCCCCUUGGAUGUCGUACCGCCACAUCUGCGAGAUGUACAAGAAGACUGAUGCAUACGUCGGGACAACGGAAGAGACUCUGACACGAGGGGCAUGGAGAAACCUGUUUUUUUGUUGUUUUUUUGAGGUUGUUCAUCGUUAAAGUACCAGUCUAAGGAGCUUGGAAAGAUGAGCUUCUAGAACUUGUAUGUGAGGAGCAGGAGCUCCCUGAAGGAGAACCCCGGCCACGUCGUCAUUUUUUGAGGUUGUCCGUCGUCAAUGUACCAGUCUAAGGAGCUUGGAAAGAUGAGCUUCUAGAACUUGUAUGUGAGGAGCAGGAGCUCCCUGAACGAGAACCCCGGCCACGUCGUCAUUUUUUUUAGGUUGUCCGUCGUCAAUGUACCAGUCUAAGGAGCUUGGAAAGAUGAGCUUCUAGAACUUGUAUGUAAGGAGCAGGAGCUCCCUGAAGGAGAACCCCGGCCACUUCGUCAUAUUCCCCUUGGAUGUCGUACCGCCACAUCUGGCAGAUGUACAAGGAUCAGUCUGGACAGCGGAGGUGGUAGCAGGAGCUGCGGCGGUAUUUGUCCUGCAGGUGUCUUGAGCGGCUUGCCAGAUGCUUUGCGGGUGCCGGCCCCGUGCGAGUGUCUUGAGCGGCUUGCCAGAUGCUUUGCCGGUUGCAGCAGAAGAGCAGCAGCUCACUGAAGGAGAAGCCCGGUCACGUUGUCAUCUUCCCCAUCGAUGUCGUACCGCCACAUCUGGCAGAUGUGCAAGAAGUCAGAGGUCCUCUUCUGGACAGCAGAGGAGGCCAGAGUGAAGAAGAAAAGCAGCAGCUCGCUGACGGAGAACCCUGGCCACGUCGUCAUCUUCCCCUUGGAUGUCGUACCGCCACAUCUGCGAGAUGUACAAGAAGACUGAUGCAUACGUCGGGACAACGGAAGAGACUCUGACACGAGGGGCAUGGAGAAACCUGUUUUUUUGUUGUUUUUUUGAGGUUGUUCAUCGUUAAAGUACCAGUCUAAGGAGCUUGGAAAGAUGAGCUUCUAGAACUUGUAUGUGAGGAGCAGGAGCUCCCUGAAGGAGAACCCCGGCCACGUCGUCAUUUUUUUGAGGUUGUCCGUCGUCAAUGUACCAGUCUAAGGAGCUUGGAAAGAUGAGCUUCUAGAACUUGUAUGUGAGGAGCAGGAACUCCCUGAAGGAGAACCCCGGCCACUUCGUCAUCUUCCCCUUGGAUGUCGUACCGCCACAUCUGGCAGAUGUACAAGGAUCAGUCUGGACAGCGGAGGUGGUAGCAGGAGCUGCGGCGGUAUUUGUCCUGCAGGUGUCUUGAGCGGCUUGCCAGAUGCUUUGCGGGUGCCGGCCCCGUGCGAGUGUCUUGAGCGGCUUGCCAGAUGCUUUGCCGGUUGCAGCAGAAGAGCAGCAGCUCACUGAAGGAGAAGCCCGGUCACGUUGUCAUCUUCCCCAUCGAUGUCGUACCGCCACAUCUGGCAGAUGUGCAAGAAGUCAGAGGUCCUCUUCUGGACAGCAGAGGAGGCCAGAGUGAAGAAGAAAAGCAGCAGCUCGCUGACGGAGAACCCUGGCCACGUCGUCAUCUUCCCCUUGGAUGUCGUACCGCCACAUCUGCGAGAUGUACAAGAAGACUGAUGCAUACGUCGGGACAACGGAAGAGACUCUGACACGAGGGGCAUGGAGAAACCUGUUUUUUUUGUUGUUUUUUUGAGGUUGUUCAUCGUUAAAGUACCAGUCUAAGGAGCUUGGAAAGAUGAGCUUCUAGAACUUGUAUGUGAGGAGCAGGAGCUCCCUGAAGGAGAACCCCGGCCACGUCGUCAUUUUUUUGAGGUUGUCCGUCGUCAAUGUACCAGUCUAAGGAGCUUGGAAAGAUGAGCUUCUAGAACUUGUAUGUGAGGAGCAGGAACUCCCUGAAGGAGAACCCCGGCCACUUCGUCAUCUUCCCCUUGGAUGUCGUACCGCCACAUCUGGCAGAUGUACAAGGAUCAGUCUGGACAGCGGAGGUGGUAGCAGGAGCUGCGGCGGUAUUUGUCCUGCAGGUGUCUUGAGCGGCUUGCCAGAUGCUUUGCGGGUGCCGGCCCCGUGCGAGUGUCUUGAGCGGCUUGCCAGAUGCUUUGCCGGUUGCAGCAGAAGAGCAGCAGCUCACUGAAGGAGAAGCCCGGUCACGUUGUCAUCUUCCCCAUCGAUGUCGUACCGCCACAUCUGGCAGAUGUGCAAGAAGUCAGAGGUCCUCUUCUGGACAGCAGAGGAGGCCAGAGUGAAGAAGAAAAGCAGCAGCUCGCUGACGGAGAACCCUGGCCACGUCGUCAUCUUCCCCUUGGAUGUCGUACCGCCACAUCUGCGAGAUGUACAAGAAGACUGAUGCAUACGUCGGGACAACGGAAGAGACUCUGACACGAGGGGCAUGGAGAAACCUGUUUUUUUUGUUGUUUUUUUGAGGUUGUUCAUCGUUAAAGUACCAGUCUAAGGAGCUUGGAAAGAUGAGCUUCUAGAACUUGUAUGUGAGGAGCAGGAGCUCCCUGAAGGAGAACCCCGGCCACGUCGUCAUUUUUUUGAGGUUGUCCGUCGUCAAUGUACCAGACUAAGGAGCUUGGAAAGAUGAGCUUCUAGAACUUGUAUGUGAGGAGCAGGAACUCCCUGAAGGAGAACCCCGGCCACUUCGUCAUCUUCCCCUUGGAUGUCGUACCGCCACAUCUGGCAGAUGUACAAGGAUCAGUCUGGACAGCGGAGGUGGUAGCAGGAGCUGCGGCGGUAUUUGUCCUGCAGGUGUCUUGAGCGGCUUGCCAGAUGCUUUGCGGGUGCCGGCCCCGUGCGAGUGUCUUGAGCGGCUUGCCAGAUGCUUUGCCGGUUGCAGCAGAAGAGCAGCAGCUCACUGAAGGAGAAGCCCGGUCACGUUGUCAUCUUCCCCAUCGAUGUCGUACCGCCACAUCUGGCAGAUGUGCAAGAAGUCAGAGGUCCUCUUCUGGACAGCAGAGGAGGCCAGAGUGAAGAAGAAAAGCAGCAGCUCGCUGACGGAGAACCCUGGCCACGUCGUCAUCUUCCCCUUGGAUGUCGUACCGCCACAUCUGCGAGAUGUACAAGAAGACUGAUGCAUACGUCGGGACAACGGAAGAGACUCUGACACGAGGGGCAUGGAGAAACCUGUUUUUUUUGUUGUUUUUUUGAGGUUGUUCAUCGUUAAAGUACCAGUCUAAGGAGCUUGGAAAGAUGAGCUUCUAGAACUUGUAUGUGAGGAGCAGGAGCUCCCUGAAGGAGAACCCCGGCCACGUCGUCAUUUUUUUGAGGUUGUCCGUCGACAAUGUACCAGUCUAAGGAGCUUGGAAAGAUGAGCUUCUAGAACUUGUAUGUGAGGAGCAGGAGCUCCCUGAACGAGAACCCCGGCCACGUCGUCAUUUUUUUUAGGUUGUCCGUCGUCAAUGUACCAGUCUAAGGAGCUUGGAAAGAUGAGCUUCUAGAACUUGUAUGUAAGGAGCAGGAGCUCCCUGAAGGAGAACCCCGGCCACUUCGUCAUAUUCCCCUUGGAUGUCGUACCGCCACAUCUGCGAGAUGUACAAGAAGUCAGAGGUCCUCUUCUGGACAGCAGAGGAGGCCAGAGUGAAGAAGAAAAGCAGCAGCUCGCUGACGGAGAACCCUGGCCACGUCGUCAUCUUCCCCUUGGAUGUCGUACCGCCACAUCUGCGAGAUGUACAAGAAGACUGAUGCAUACGUCGGGACAACGGAAGAGACUCUGACACGAGGGGCAUGGAGAAACCUGUUUUUUUUGUUGUUUUUUUGAGGUUGUUCAUCGUUAAAGUACCAGUCUAAGGAGCUUGGAAAGAUGAGCUUCUAGAACUUGUAUGUGAGGAGCAGGAGCUCCCUGAAGGAGAACCCCGGCCACGUCGUCAUUUUUUUGAGGUUGUCCGUCGUCAAUGUACCAGUCUAAGGAGCUUGGAAAGAUGAGCUUCUAGAACUUGUAUGUGAGGAGCAGGAACUCCCUGAAGGAGAACCCCGGCCACUUCGUCAUCUUCCCCUUGGAUGUCGUACCGCCACAUCUGGCAGAUGUACAAGGAUCAGUCUGGACAGCGGAGGUGGUAGCAGGAGCUGCGGCGGUAUUUGUCCUGCAGGUGUCUUGAGCGGCUUGCCAGAUGCUUUGCGGGUGCCGGCCCCGUGCGAGUGUCUUGAGCGGCUUGCCAGAUGCUUUGCCGGUUGCAGCAGAAGAGCAGCAGCUCACUGAAGGAGAAGCCCGGUCACGUUGUCAUCUUCCCCAUCGAUGUCGUACCGCCACAUCUGGCAGAUGUGCAAGAAGUCAGAGGUCCUCUUCUGGACAGCAGAGGAGGCCAGAGUGAAGAAGAAAAGCAGCAGCUCGCUGACGGAGAACCCUGGCCACGUCGUCAUCUUCCCCUUGGAUGUCGUACCGCCACAUCUGCGAGAUGUACAAGAAGACUGAUGCAUACGUCGGGACAACGGAAGAGACUCUGACACGAGGGGCAUGGAGAAACCUGUUUUUUUUGUUGUUUUUUUGAGGUUGUUCAUCGUUAAAGUACCAGUCUAAGGAGCUUGGAAAGAUGAGCUUCUAGAACUUGUAUGUGAGGAGCAGGAGCUCCCUGAAGGAGAACCCCGGCCACGUCGUCAUUUUUUUGAGGUUGUCCGUCGUCAAUGUACCAGUCUAAGGAGCUUGGAAAGAUGAGCUUCUAGAACUUGUAUGUGAGGAGCAGGAACUCCCUGAAGGAGAACCCCGGCCACUUCGUCAUCUUCCCCUUGGAUGUCGUACCGCCACAUCUGGCAGAUGUACAAGGAUCAGUCUGGACAGCGGAGGUGGUAGCAGGAGCUGCGGCGGUAUUUGUCCUGCAGGUGUCUUGAGCGGCUUGCCAGAUGCUUUGCGGGUGCCGGCCCCGUGCGAGUGUCUUGAGCGGCUUGCCAGAUGCUUUGCCGGUUGCAGCAGAAGAGCAGCAGCUCACUGAAGGAGAAGCCCGGUCACGUUGUCAUCUUCCCCAUCGAUGUCGUACCGCCACAUCUGGCAGAUGUGCAAGAAGUCAGAGGUCCUCUUCUGGACAGCAGAGGAGGCCAGAGUGAAGAAGAAAAGCAGCAGCUCGCUGACGGAGAACCCUGGCCACGUCGUCAUCUUCCCCUUGGAUGUCGUACCGCCACAUCUGCGAGAUGUACAAGAAGACUGAUGCAUACGUCGGGACAACGGAAGAGACUCUGACACGAGGGGCAUGGAGAAACCUGUUUUUUUGUUGUUUUUUUGAGGUUGUUCAUCGUUAAAGUACCAGUCUAAGGAGCUUGGAAAGAUGAGCUUCUAGAACUUGUAUGUGAGGAGCAGGAACUCCCUGAAGGAGAACCCCGGCCACUUCGUCAUCUUCCCCUUGGAUGUCGUACCGCCACAUCUGGCAGAUGUACAAGGAUCAGUCUGGACAGCGGAGGUGGUAGCAGGAGCUGCGGCGGUAUUUGUCCUGCAGGUGUCUUGAGCGGCUUGCCAGAUGCUUUGCGGGUGCCGGCCCCGUGCGAGUGUCUUGAGCGGCUUGCCAGAUGCUUUGCCGGUUGCAGCAGAAGAGCAGCAGCUCACUGAAGGAGAAGCCCGGUCACGUUGUCAUCUUCCCCAUCGAUGUCGUACCGCCACAUCUGGCAGAUGUGCAAGAAGUCAGAGGUCCUCUUCUGGACAGCAGAGGAGGCCAGAGUGAAGAAGAAAAGCAGCAGCUCGCUGACGGAGAACCCUGGCCACGUCGUCAUCUUCCCCUUGGAUGUCGUACCGCCACAUCUGCGAGAUGUACAAGAAGACUGAUGCAUACGUCGGGACAACGGAAGAGACUCUGACACGAGGGGCAUGGAGAAACCUGUUUUUUUUGUUGUUUUUUUGAGGUUGUUCAUCGUUAAAGUACCAGUCUAAGGAGCUUGGAAAGAUGAGCUUCUAGAACUUGUAUGUGAGGAGCAGGAGCUCCCUGAAGGAGAACCCCGGCCACGUCGUCAUUUUUUUGAGGUUGUCCGUCGUCAAUGUACCAGUCUAAGGAGCUUGGAAAGAUGAGCUUCUAGAACUUGUAUGUGAGGAGCAGGAACUCCCUGAAGGAGAACCCCGGCCACUUCGUCAUCUUCCC